CGAACGCUGGCGGCGUGCCUAAUACAUGCACGUAGACCGCUGAAGAGAGGAGCUUGCUCUUCUUGGAUGAGUUGCGAACGGGUGAGUAACGCGUAGGUAACCUGCCUUGUAGCGGGGGAUAACUAUUGGAAACGAUAGCUAAUACCGCAUAACAAUGGAUGACACAUGUCAUUUAUUUGAAAGGGGCAAUUGCUCCACUACAAGAUGGACCUGCGUUGUAUUAGCUAGUAGGUGAGGUAAUGGCUCACCUAGGCGACGAUACAUAGCCGACCUGAGAGGGUGAUCGGCCACACUGGGACUGAGACACGGCCCAGACUCCUACGGGAGGCAGCAGUAGGGAAUCUUCGGCAAUGGGGGCAACCCUGACCGAGCAACGCCGCGUGAGUGAAGAAGGUUUUCGGAUCGUAAAGCUCUGUUGUAAGUCAAGAACGGGUGUGAGAGUGGAAAGUUCACACUGUGACGGUAGCUUACCAGAAAGGGACGGCUAACUACGUG
This 495-nucleotide ribosomal RNA is filed under the name uncultured bacterium. RNAcentral's name for it is "partial 16S ribosomal RNA". It matches the Rfam family "Bacterial small subunit ribosomal RNA", at positions 30 to 507 of the family's 1533-position model. The record is from RNAcentral.